This 270-nucleotide ribosomal RNA is filed under the name Triticum aestivum (bread wheat). RNAcentral's name for it is "partial small subunit ribosomal RNA". Lineage: Eukaryota; Viridiplantae; Streptophyta; Magnoliopsida; Poales; Poaceae. The record is from RNAcentral.
AUGAAUUGCAUAACAUGGAAUUGUCGCGGGCUUGGGAACCCGGAGACAGUUCGUGAACUUCACCAUUUGGUGAGGAUUGAAGCGCUCACCUUAGUCUUCUUAUCUGAGACGAAGAUUGAGGGCAAGAAGGUAACGGAUAUGAGAGCAAGACUUGGGUUUGAAGGAUGUAUUCCGGUCAGCAGUGAUGGACUGAGCGGAGGACUUGCCCUUUUCUGGUCUAGAGAAGUGGAUGUGAAGCUCAACAAUUUGUCUAACCAGCAUAUGAUGUAA